RNAcentral lists this ribosomal RNA (453 nucleotides) under Triticum aestivum (bread wheat). Its description in RNAcentral is "partial small subunit ribosomal RNA". The record is from RNAcentral. Lineage: Eukaryota; Viridiplantae; Streptophyta; Magnoliopsida; Poales; Poaceae.
AUGUUUGUUAGAUACUAUGGUAUAGAAGCAUUCACAAAAAAUGGAUUCAAAUCUUGGAAGGAUGGGCCUAAAGUUUUUAAUCAGCAUGUUGGCAAGCAUGAUAGUGCUCAUAAUAAAUCUAGGCAACAUUAUGAGGAUUUCAAAUAUCAAAGACAAAAUCUGCCACAUGUGUUUGAUAGGGGUUCUCAUAAGCAAGAAGAAGAAUACAAAGCUCGUCUCUUGAUUACAUUGAGUAUUGUCAAUUUUUUGAUACUACAAGCUCUUGCUUUUCAUGGUCAUGAUGAGUCUACUAGCUCAAUGAAUAAGGGUAACUUUAGAGAGUUGUUCGACUUGUUCAUAAAGAAAGACCCAAAGGUUAUCGCACACGUAAAGGCGUUUUGCCUCGUCCUAGACGUAAGUUUUAACAUUUUGCAUCUAUUGUUAACUAGUUUUGCCUGCUACAUUAUGCACUGA